UACCCAACAGCUAGCCCCCCCCCCCAAAAACCAACAAAUAACCCUUAAUACACCCAAAAACACUCAACUAAACAAAACAAAUCAUUUUUCCUCCUAAGUAUAGGCGAUAGAAAAGGAUCACGGAGCUAUAGAUGAAGUACCGCAAGGGAACGCUGAAAGAGAAAUGAAACAACCCAGUAAAGUAUAAAAAAGCAGAGAUAAAAUCUCGUACCUUUUGCAUCAUGAUUUAGCUAGUAAAAUUUAGGCAAAGAGCACUUUAGUCUAACACCCCGAAACUGGAUGAGCUACUCCAAGACAGCCUAUUUAGGGCACAUCCGUCUCUGUGGCAAAAGAGUGGAAAGAGCUUUGAGUAGAGGUGAUAAACCUACCGAGUCCAGUGAUAGCUGGUUGCCCGAGAACUGAGUUUAAGCUCAGCUUUUUGGUUUUUUAAUUCAUAACUGUAUUAAUUAACCCGAUUUUAAGAAACCAAAAAAGUUAGUCAAAGGGGGUACAGCCCCUCUGAUUCAAGAAACAACUUUUUUAGGAGGAUAAGGAUCAUAUUCACAAAGGUAUGUGUUCAGGUGGGCUUAAAAGCAGCCACCCUAUCGAAAGCGUUAAAGCUCAAACACACCCCCACACCACGAAUUCUGAUAACCCAUCCUAACCCCUAAACCCUACCGGGCCUCUCUAUGCACCCAUAGAAGAGAUUAUGCUAAUAUGAGUAAUAAGGGACUUCGCUCCCCUCCUAGCACAAGUGUAUAUCAGAACGAACCCCCACCGAAAUUUAACGGGCCCAAUCAAAGAGGGCAGUGAGAACUAAACUUAACAACCAGAAAACCACUCAUUAGUAUACCGUUAACCCUACACUGGCGUGCCUAAUAGGAAAGACUAAAAGAAAAAGAAGGAACUCGGCAAACCCACAAGCCUCGCCUGUUUACCAAAAACAUCGCCUCUUGCAAAAACAAUGAAUAAGAGGUCCCGCCUGCCCUGUGACAAUAUGUUUAACGGCCGCGGUAUUUUGACCGUGCAAAGGUAGCGCAAUCACUUGUCCUUUAAAUGGGGACCUGUAUGAAUGGCAUGACGAGGGCUUAACUGUCUCCUUUUUCAAGUCAAUGAAAUUGAUCUCCCCGUGCAGAAGCGGGGAUAGAACCAUAAGACGAGAAGACCCUGUGGAGCUUUAGACAUAAGACAGAUCAUGUUAAACACCUUUAUAUACAAAGAUAAACCAAAUGUAAACCUGUUUGAAUGUUUUUGGUUGGGGCGACCGCGGGGUAACAAAUAACCCCCAUGUGGAAUGAAAACACUUUUUAAAACUAAGAGCUACUGCUCUAAUAAACAGAACAUCUGACCAAACAGAUCCGGCCUAGCCGAUCAACGAACCGAGUUACCCCAGGGAUAACAGCGCAAUCCUCUUUUAGAGACCAUAUCAACAAGAGGGUUUACGACCUCGAUGUUGGAUCAGGACAUCCUAAUGGUGCAGCCGCUAUUAAGGGUUCGUUUGUUCAACGAUUAAAGUCCUACGUGAUCUGAGUUCAGACCGGAGUAAUCCAGGUCAGUUUCUAUCUAUGAAGUGACCUUUUCUAGUACGAAAGGACCGAAAAGGAGGGGCCUCUACUUAAAGCACGCCCUACUCUUACCUGUUGCAUCCAACUAAAACAGGCAAAAGAGCACAAAACUCAGUCAAAGAACAUGACAU
Molecule: ribosomal RNA, 1675 nt
Filed under: Sphoeroides pachygaster (blunthead puffer)
Lineage: Eukaryota; Metazoa; Chordata; Actinopteri; Tetraodontiformes; Tetraodontidae
Description: 16S ribosomal RNA
Rfam family: Bacterial large subunit ribosomal RNA (bases 98-1596)
Source: RNAcentral